GACGAACGCUGGCGGCGUGCUUAACACAUGCAAGUCGAACGCUGAAGCUCAGCUUUUGUUGGGUGGAUGAGUGGCGAACGGGUGAGUAACACGUGAGUAACCUGCCCCCUUCUUUGGGAUAACGCCCGGAAACGGGUGCUAAUACUGGAUAUUCACUGGUCUUCGCAUGGGGGUUGGUGGAAAGGGUUUUUCUGGUGGGGGAUGGGCUCGCGGCCUAUCAGCUUGUUGGUGGGGUGAUGGCCUACCAAGGCUUUGACGGGUAGCCGGCCUGAGAGGGUGACCGGUAACAUUGGGACUGAGAUACGGCCCAGACUCCUACGGGAGGCAGCAGUGGGGAAGAUUGCACAGUGGGCGCAAGCCUGAUGCAGCGAGGCCGCGUGAGGGAUGGAGGCCUUCGGGUUGUGAACCUCUUUCGCUCAUGGUCAAGCCGCAACAAUGGUUGUGGUGAGGGUAGUGGGUAAAGAAGCGCCGGCUAACUACGUG
Molecule: ribosomal RNA, 483 nt
Filed under: uncultured bacterium
Lineage: Bacteria
Description: partial 16S ribosomal RNA
Rfam family: Bacterial small subunit ribosomal RNA
Source: RNAcentral